RNAcentral lists this ribosomal RNA (378 nucleotides) under uncultured bacterium. RNAcentral's name for it is "bacterial SSU rRNA". It matches the Rfam family "Bacterial small subunit ribosomal RNA", at positions 790 to 1167 of the family's 1533-position model. The record is from RNAcentral.
GUAGUCCACGCUGUAAACGAUGGGUACUAGGUGUUGUGGGAAUUGACCCCCACAGUGCCGACGCUAACGCAUUAAGUACCCCGCCUGGGAAGUACGGUCGCAAGAUUAAAACUCAAAGGAAUUGACGGGGGCCCGCACAAGCGGUGGAGCAUGUGGUUUAAUUCGAUGCAACGCGAAGAACCUUACCUGGGUUUGACAUCCCCUGACCGCUCUAGAGAUAGAGUUUUCUCUUCGGAGACAGGGAGUACAGGUGCUGCAUGGCUGUCGUCAGCUCGUAUCGUGAGAUGUCGGGUUAAGUCCCUUAACGAGCGCAACCCUUAUCCUUAGUUGCCAUCAUUUAGUUGGGCACUCUAGGGAGACUGCCGGUGUUAAACCGGA